CAUCUCAUGUCUACAUAGAGACG
Molecule: microRNA, 23 nt
Filed under: Octopus vulgaris (common octopus)
Lineage: Eukaryota; Metazoa; Mollusca; Cephalopoda; Octopoda; Octopodidae
Also listed under: 1 other name
Description: Ovu-Mir-12572_3p (mature (co-guide))
Source: RNAcentral